Molecule: non-coding RNA, 242 nt
Organism: Cinara cedri
Lineage: Eukaryota; Metazoa; Arthropoda; Insecta; Hemiptera; Aphididae
Source: the annotation of a GenBank genome assembly
GAACUUCAUUACCAACUCUGGAAUAUUAGUCGAUUUUUAUUUUUGUUUUUUUUAACAAUGGCAUUGGUUUUAGAAAUCAAUGAACGUACAUCAUCGAUUUACAGGUGUGGGUAUAUGGCACGUGCUUAUGAUAAUGCAGGUGCUCUUGGCUCUCUCUCUCUUUUUAUCGUACUUUUUCUCUCUUUGUCUCACACCAGUCAUUCAUUCUUUCUCUUCUCGUAUAUAUAUAUACGUAUAUAUUC